CCCCUAGUAAAUCCGAGUGAAGCGGGAAAAGCUCAAAUUUAAAAUCUGGCAGCGGUUGGCUGUCCGAGUUGUAACCUAGAGAAGUGUUGCCCGUGCUGGACCGUGUACAAGUCUCCUGGGAUGGAGCAUCAUAGAGGGUGAGAAUCCCGUCUCUGACACCGACUACCAGUGCACUGUGGUAUGCUCUCAAAGAGUUGAGUUGUUUGGGAAUGCAGCUCUAAAUGGGUGGUAAAUUCCAUCUAAAGCUAAAUAUUGGCGAGAGACCGAUAGCGAACAAGUACCGUGAGGGAAAGAUGAAAAGAACUUUGGAAAGAGAGUUAAACAGUAUGUGAAAUUGUUGAAAGGGAAACGUUUGAAGUCAGUCGUGUUGGCCAGGGAUCAACCCAGCUAUUUUUGGUGGGUUUACUUCCUGGUCAAUGGGCCAACAUCAGUUUUGGUCACUGGAGAAAGGCAUUGGGAAUGUGGCACCCUUUUUGGGUGUGUUAUAGCCCAUUGUCACAUACAGUGGCUAGGACUGAGGAUAGCAGCGCGCCGCAAGGGGCGGGUUUCGACCACUUCCGCGCUUAGGAUUUGGGCAUAWKGGCUUUAACCAACCCGCCU
Molecule: ribosomal RNA, 600 nt
Filed under: Amanita virgineoides
Lineage: Eukaryota; Fungi; Basidiomycota; Agaricomycetes; Agaricales; Amanitaceae
Description: LSU rRNA
Rfam family: Eukaryotic large subunit ribosomal RNA
Source: RNAcentral